Molecule: ribosomal RNA, 552 nt
Filed under: Achromobacter sp. enrichment culture clone CH2_4_3
Lineage: Bacteria; Pseudomonadati; Pseudomonadota; Betaproteobacteria; Burkholderiales; Alcaligenaceae
Description: bacterial SSU rRNA
Rfam family: Bacterial small subunit ribosomal RNA
Source: RNAcentral
UAACUACGCGAAAGCGUAGCCAAUACCGCAUACGCCCUACGGGGGAAAGCAGGGGAUCGCAAGACCUUGCACUAUUGGAGCGGCCGAUAUCGGAUUAGCUAGUUGGUGGGGUAACGGCUCACCAAGGCGACGAUCCGUAGCUGGUUUGAGAGGACGACCAGCCACACUGGGACUGAGACACGGCCCAGACUCCUACGGGAGGCAGCAGUGGGGAAUUUUGGACAAUGGGGGAAACCCUGAUCCAGCCAUCCCGCGUGUGCGAUGAAGGCCUUCGGGUUGUAAAGCACUUUUGGCAGGAAAGAAACGUCGUGGGUUAAUACCCCGCGGAACUGACGGUACCUGCAGAAUAAGCACCGGCUAACUACGUGCCAGCAGCCGCGGUAAUACGUAGGGUGCAAGCGUUAAUCGGAUUACUGGGCGUAAAGCGUGCGCAGGCGGUUCGGAAAGAAAGAUGUGAAAUCCCAGAGCUUAACUUUGGAACUGCAUUUUUAACUACCGAGCUAGAGUGUGUCAGAGGGAGGUGGAAUUCCGCGUGUAGCAGUGAAAUGCGUA